RNAcentral lists this ribosomal RNA (253 nucleotides) under uncultured bacterium. RNAcentral describes it as "partial 16S ribosomal RNA". It matches the Rfam family "Bacterial small subunit ribosomal RNA", at positions 524 to 776 of the family's 1533-position model. The record is from RNAcentral.
UACAGAGGGUGCGAGCGUUGUUCGGAAUUACUGGGCGUAAAGCGCGCGCAGGCGGCCUUUUAGGUCCGUUGUGAAAGCCCUGGGCUCAACCUGGGAAUGGCAGUGGAUACUGGAAGGCUGGAGUACGGUAGAGGAGGGUGGAAUUCCCGGUGUAGCGGUGAAAUGCGUAGAGAUCGGGAGGAACAUCAGUGGCGAAGGCGGCCCUCUGGACCAGUACUGACGCUGAGGCACGAAAGCGUGGGGAGCAAACAGG